This 2181-nucleotide ribosomal RNA is filed under the name Escherichia coli. RNAcentral describes it as "partial 23S ribosomal RNA". It matches the Rfam family "Bacterial large subunit ribosomal RNA", at positions 1 to 2207 of the family's 2925-position model. Lineage: Bacteria; Pseudomonadati; Pseudomonadota; Gammaproteobacteria; Enterobacterales; Enterobacteriaceae. The record is from RNAcentral.
GGUUAAGCGACUAAGCGUACACGGUGGAUGCCCUGGCAGUCAGAGGCGAUGAAGGACGUGCUAAUCUGCGAUAAGCGUCGGUAAGGUGAUAUGAACCGUUAUAACCGGCGAUUUCCGAAUGGGGAAACCCAGUGUGUUUCGACACACUAUCAUUAACUGAAUCCAUAGGUUAAUGAGGCGAACCGGGGGAACUGAAACAUCUAAGUACCCCGAGGAAAAGAAAUCAACCGAGAUUCCCCCAGUAGCGGCGAGCGAACGGGGAGCAGCCCAGAGCCUGAAUCAGUGUGUGUGUUAGUGGAAGCGUCUGGAAAGGCGCGCGAUACAGGGUGACAGCCCCGUACACAAAAAUGCACAUGCUGUGAGCUCGAUGAGUAGGGCGGGACACGUGGUAUCCUGUCUGAAUAUGGGGGGACCAUCCUCCAAGGCUAAAUACUCCUGACUGACCGAUAGUGAACCAGUACCGUGAGGGAAAGGCGAAAAGAACCCCGGCGAGGGGAGUGAAAAAGAACCUGAAACCGUGUACGUACAAGCAGUGGGAGCACGCUUAGGCGUGUGACUGCGUACCUUUUGUAUAAUGGGUCAGCGACUUAUAUUCUGUAGCAAGGUUAACCGAAUAGGGGAGCCGAAGGGAAACCGAGUCUUAACUGGGCGUUAAGUUGCAGGGUAUAGACCCGAAACCCGGUGAUCUAGCCAUGGGCAGGUUGAAGGUUGGGUAACACUAACUGGAGGACCGAACCGACUAAUGUUGAAAAAUUAGCGGAUGACUUGUGGCUGGGGGUGAAAGGCCAAUCAAACCGGGAGAUAGCUGGUUCUCCCCGAAAGCUAUUUAGGUAGCGCCUCGUGAAUUCAUCUCCGGGGGUAGAGCACUGUUUCGGCAAGGGGGUCAUCCCGACUUACCAACCCGAUGCAAACUGCGAAUACCGGAGAAUGUUAUCACGGGAGACACACGGCGGGUGCUAACGUCCGUCGUGAAGAGGGAAACAACCCAGACCGCCAGCUAAGGUCCCAAAGUCAUGGUUAAGUGGGAAACGAUGUGGGAAGGCCCAGACAGCCAGGAUGUUGGCUUAGAAGCAGCCAUCAUUUAAAGAAAGCGUAAUAGCUCACUGGUCGAGUCGGCCUGCGCGGAAGAUGUAACGGGGCUAAACCAUGCACCGAAGCUGCGGCAGCGACGCUUAUGCGUUGUUGGGUAGGGGAGCGUUCUGUAAGCCUGUGAAGGUGUGCUGUGAGGCAUGCUGGAGGUAUCAGAAGUGCGAAUGCUGACAUAAGUAACGAUAAAGCGGGUGAAAAGCCCGCUCGCCGGAAGACCAAGGGUUCCUGUCCAACGUUAAUCGGGGCAGGGUGAGUCGACCCCUAAGGCGAGGCCGAAAGGCGUAGUCGAUGGGAAACAGGUUAAUAUUCCUGUACUUGGUGUUACUGCGAAGGGGGGACGGAGAAGGCUAUGUUGGCCGGGCGACGGUUGUCCCGGUUUAAGCGUGUAGGCUGGUUUUCCAGGCAAAUCCGGAAAAUCAAGGCUGAGGCGUGAUGACGAGGCACUACGGUGCUGAAGCAACAAAUGCCCUGCUUCCAGGAAAAGCCUCUAAGCAUCAGGUAACAUCAAAUCGUACCCCAAACCGACACAGGUGGUCAGGUAGAGAAUACCAAGGCGCUUGAGAGAACUCGGGUGAAGGAACUAGGCAAAAUGGUGCCGUAACUUCGGGAGAAGGCACGCUGAUAUGUAGGUGAAGUCCCUCGCGGAUGGAGCUGAAAUCAGUCGAAGAUACCAGCUGGCUGCAACUGUUUAUUAAAAACACAGCACUGUGCAAACACGAAAGUGGACGUAUACGGUGUGACGCCUGCCCGGUGCCGGAAGGUUAAUUGAUGGGGUCAGCGCAAGCGAAGCUCUUGAUCGAAGCCCCGGUAAACGGCGGCCGUAACUAUAACGGUCCUAAGGUAGCGAAAUUCCUUGUCGGGUAAGUUCCGACCUGCACGAAUGGCGUAAUGAUGGCCAGGCUGUCUCCACCCGAGACUCAGUGAAAUUGAACUCGCUGUGAAGAUGCAGUGUACCCGCGGCAAGACGGAAAGACCCCGUGAACCUUUACUAUAGCUUGACACUGAACAUUGAGCCUUGAUGUGUAGGAUAGGUGGGAGGCUUGGAAGUGUGGACGCCAGUCUGCAUGGAGCCGACCUUGAAAUACCACCCUU